CUUGUCUAGUUUCUCUUUAGAUCAUAUAAAUCUUUUACCUUUUGCUAAAAAUUUCCAUAGAAUGGAAAAGUUAUGAAUAUGGAAACAAUUUUGAGACUCUGAGAAACAGCAGAGUU
This is a small nuclear RNA of Gracilinanus agilis (Agile Gracile Mouse Opossum), 116 nucleotides long. RefSeq annotates it as U5 spliceosomal RNA. The record is from RefSeq and is a predicted model, not a curated record. The transcript has a single exon. NCBI's taxonomy places the organism in Eukaryota, Metazoa, Chordata, Mammalia, Didelphimorphia, Didelphidae.